Molecule: ribosomal RNA, 468 nt
Filed under: uncultured bacterium
Lineage: Bacteria
Description: partial 16S ribosomal RNA
Rfam family: Bacterial small subunit ribosomal RNA
Source: RNAcentral
GACGAACGCUGGCGGCGUGCUUAACACAUGCAAGUCGAACGGAAAGGCCCCGCUUUUGUGGGGUGCUCGAGUGGCGAACGGGUGAGUAACACGUGAGUAACCUGCCCUUGACUUUGGGAUAACUUCAGGAAACUGGGGCUAAUACCGGAUAGGAGCUCCUGCUGCAUGGUGGGGGUUGGAAAGUUUCGGCGGUUGGGGAUGGACUCGCGGCUUAUCAGCUUGUUGGUGGGGUAGUGGCUUACCAAGGCUUUGACGGGUAGCCGGCCUGAGAGGGUGACCGGCCACAUUGGGACUGAGAUACGGCCCAGACUCCUACGGGAGGCAGCAGUGGGGAAUAUUGAACAAUGGGCGGAAGCCUGAUGCAGCAACGCCGCGUGCGGGAUGACGGCCUUCGGGUUGUAAACCGCUUUCGCCUGUGACGAAGCGUGAGUGACGGUAAUGGGUAAAGAAGCACCGGCUAACUACGUG